UUAAGUUACUCCGGUGGAUCACUUGGCUCGCGGGUCGAUGAAGAACGCAGUGAAUUGCGAUAAUAAGUACGAAUUACAGAUAUUAUGAGUACCAUGUUUUUGAAUGCAUAUUGCGCUCUUGGGCUUUGCUCUUGAGCAUAUCCGAUUCAGGGUGUGUUUUU
RNAcentral lists this ribosomal RNA (161 nucleotides) under Bursaphelenchus luxuriosae. RNAcentral describes it as "5.8S ribosomal RNA". It matches the Rfam family "5.8S ribosomal RNA". Rfam says of the family: 5.8S ribosomal RNA (5.8S rRNA) is a component of the large subunit of the eukaryotic ribosome. It is transcribed by RNA polymerase I as part of the 45S precursor that also contains 18S and 28S rRNA. Lineage: Eukaryota; Metazoa; Nematoda; Chromadorea; Rhabditida; Aphelenchoididae. The record is from RNAcentral.